RNAcentral lists this transfer RNA (70 nucleotides) under Ictidomys tridecemlineatus (thirteen-lined ground squirrel). RNAcentral describes it as "Spermophilus tridecemlineatus (thirteen-lined ground squirrel) tRNA". It matches the Rfam family "tRNA". Rfam says of the family: Transfer RNA (tRNA) molecules are approximately 80 nucleotides in length. Their secondary structure includes four short double-helical elements and three loops (D, anti-codon, and T loops). Further hydrogen bonds mediate the characteristic L-shaped molecular structure. tRNAs have two regions of fundamental functional importance: the anti-codon, which is responsible for specific mRNA codon recognition, and the 3' end, to which the tRNAs corresponding amino acid is attached (by aminoacyl-tRNA synthetases). tRNAs cope with the degeneracy of the genetic code in two manners: having more than one tRNA (with a specific anti-codon) for a particular amino acid; and 'wobble' base-pairing, i.e. permitting non-standard base-pairing at the 3rd anti-codon position. The record is from Rfam by way of RNAcentral. Lineage: Eukaryota; Metazoa; Chordata; Mammalia; Rodentia; Sciuridae.
GGGGAUGUGGCUCAAGUGGUAGUGCGCUCGCCUAGCGUGCGUGAGGCACUGGGUUCAAUUCCCAGCACCA